Molecule: long non-coding RNA, 249 nt
Filed under: Ananas comosus (pineapple)
Lineage: Eukaryota; Viridiplantae; Streptophyta; Magnoliopsida; Poales; Bromeliaceae
Description: long non-coding RNA (ACOM_LNC039091)
Source: RNAcentral
UCGCCUUUUAACUAAUUUCCUGUAGUGCCACCCUCUCUUAAGGGAAUGAGAUUAGUACUUUGAGAUGAAUCUCAUUCCCGAGUAAAUCCAAUAUUACCGACUAGAUUAUUUAGUACGUUUAGCCAAAUACCAUUAUAUUUUUUUAUUCCUAUUGGAUUAUUAAGAAUCUUAAAAAAAAUAGCGCGAACAAAACGCACCCUAAGAUUAAGGCGCUAUUUGGUAUUCACUGUUAGAUUGGACAAUGUAAAA